GACGAACGCUGGCGGCGUGCUUAACACAUGCAAGUCGAACGGAAAGGCCCUGCUUUUGUGGGGUGCUCGAGUGGCGAACGGGUGAGUAACACGUGAGUAACCUGCCCUUGACUUUGUGAUAACUUCAGGAAACUGGGGCUAAUACCGGAUAGGAGCUCCUGCUGCAUGGUGGGGGUUGGAAAGUUUCGGCGGUUGGGGAUGGACUCGCGGCUUAUCAGCUUGUUGGUGGGGUAGUGGCUUACCAAGGCUUUGACGGGUAGCCGGCCUGAGAGGGUGACCGGCCACAUUGGGACUGAGGUACGGCCCAGACUCCUACGGGAGGCAGCAGUGGGGAAUAUUGCACAAUGGGCGGAAGCCUGAUGCAGCAACGCCGCGUGCGGGAUGACGGCCUUCGGGUUGUAAACCGCUUUCGCCUGUGACGAAGCGUGAGUGACGGUAAUGGGUAAAGAAGCACCGGCUAACUACGUG
RNAcentral lists this ribosomal RNA (468 nucleotides) under uncultured bacterium. RNAcentral's name for it is "partial 16S ribosomal RNA". It matches the Rfam family "Bacterial small subunit ribosomal RNA", at positions 28 to 507 of the family's 1533-position model. The record is from RNAcentral.